AUUGAACGCUGGCGGCAGGCCUAACACAUGCAAGUCGAGCGAGCGGCGGACGGGUGAGUAAUGUAUGGGGACUGCCUGAUAGCGGGGGAUAACUACUGGAAACGGUGGCUAAUACCGCAUACUAUCGGAUAACCCAUAUGGGAUUAGCUAGUAGGUGGGGUAAAGGCUCACCUAGGCGACGAUCUCUAGCUGGUCUGAGAGGAUGAUCAGCCACACUGGGACUGAGACACGGCCCAGACUCCUACGGAGGAAGCAGUGGGGAAUAUUGCGCAAUGGGCGCAAGCCGGGUGCAGCCAUGACGCGGGUAUGAAGAGGGCCUUAGGGUUGUAAAGGACGUUCAGCGGGGAGGCGGUAGCCGCAGAAGAAGCACCGGCUAGCUCCGUGCCAGCAGCCGCGGUAAUAC
This 403-nucleotide ribosomal RNA is filed under the name uncultured bacterium. RNAcentral describes it as "partial 16S ribosomal RNA". It matches the Rfam family "Bacterial small subunit ribosomal RNA", at positions 29 to 526 of the family's 1533-position model. The record is from RNAcentral.